UACGUAGUUUUAGCAGCCAAUGUAAUGUACUGAAAUUUUGGACUAAUAAGUGCCUCAUUUGUUUUAAUACCCUUAAAAUGAGAUUGAAACUAAAUUUGAUUUUGGAAUACUCACGUUUUUAUGUAAUUAUAGUAUGACGAAUAGCUUAAAAAUAAUACUAAUUAUUUUAAUAUUAGUAAAAAACGUACAAUACUCCGUCCGCAGUUUGUAGAACAAUCGGGUUUUAAUUUUGAAGUAGAAAAUUGGAGAAAUGUAAUAAAUUGUUUAAAUUGAUUUUGUUCUUUAUUUUUCGAUUCUAUCUCUAAUUAUUCAUUUGUAACUAGAAUCUAGCAGUUACAAUUUUUAUUUCUUUUGUAACACUUUUUGUGAUGUACAAAGUUAAAAAAAAAAUAUUGUAAAGUAGAUCAUUACACUAAAUUUGUCAAAGUUAUAUUAUUGUUGUUAUAGGUAUAGUUCACGUCAUGUAAAAAGAACGCUGAAAGAAACUGGAGGGAGUGCGUUUGCGCAUGAGUAUACUCGCGCACAAAAGUACUACUGUUUUAUUUUUUAAUUACGCUUUCACUCGCGGCUUCGUAUAAUGGUUAUUGGUAGGUACAUUAAAAAAUACUAGAA
This 612-nucleotide unclassified non-coding RNA is filed under the name Melitaea cinxia (Glanville fritillary). RNAcentral's name for it is "misc RNA ENSMCXG00005014754.1". Lineage: Eukaryota; Metazoa; Arthropoda; Insecta; Lepidoptera; Nymphalidae. The record is from RNAcentral.